AUUGAACGCUGGCGGCAUGCCUUACACAUGCAAGUCGAACGGCAGCACGGGAGCAAUCCUGGUGGCGAGUGGCGAACGGGUGAGUAAUAUAUCGGAACGUGCCCAGUCGUGGGGGAUAACGUAGCGAAAGCUACGCUAAUACCGCAUACGAUCUAUGGAUGAAAGCGGGGGAUCGCAAGACCUCGCGCGAUUGGAGCGGCCGAUAUCAGAUUAGGGAGUUGGUGAGGUAAAGGCUCACCAAGCCGACGAUCUGUAGCUGGUCUGAGAGGACGACCAGCCACACUGGGACUGAGACGCGGCCCAGACUCCUACGGGAGGCAGCAGUGGGGAAUUUUGGACAAUGGGCGCAAGCCUGAUCCAGCAAUGCCGCGUGCAGGAUGAAGGCCUUCGGGUUGUAAACUGCUUUUGUACGGAACGAAACGGCGAGCUCUAAUACAGUUUGCUAAUGACGGUACCGUAAGAAUAAGCACCGGCUAACUACGUGCCAGCCGCCGCAGUAA
RNAcentral lists this ribosomal RNA (500 nucleotides) under uncultured bacterium. RNAcentral describes it as "partial 16S ribosomal RNA". It matches the Rfam family "Bacterial small subunit ribosomal RNA", at positions 30 to 523 of the family's 1533-position model. The record is from RNAcentral.